UCUCUUUCUGAACAAUAGGGUAGUUAAUUUGACUUUUCCGAAGAUAAUCUGUUGAAUGUAUUUAAGUAUCAAGCACGUAGGCUGCAGAAUGGAACUGUUUUUAAUUUCCUCGUUUGUUAAGCGUCGCCUAAUGAAAUGCACUCUUGGUAGGCGUUUUGGGGUUUUCUGAAAAUGUGGCAAGUAUUAUUUUUUAUGUCAUAUAGCUAUUCAUGGAGGUAAUUCAUGACACAUGCGGAUAAUUAAAUUGCGUCUUGGACGUGAUUUAAAUUUAGGUCAGUCCCGCUCCGCAGAUAGAUGCGCGCGUGAUUUAUGAACACUGCACUGGUAAUAGAUUUAGAAGAGGUUCUUCGAUGGUAAAUCCACCAUCGAAGAAUCAGCGCGUCGACAAAACGCCUUAACAACUUCUAAUACAGUACUGCGUGUUAAUAUAUGUUUUCAUAAUGUAGGCUAUGUUCAAGAAUAGUUCUUGUAGUCUAUGUGCAAGGCUUCCAGUAAUGAGCAACAUUGUCUGGUCAAAUAAAAAAUAAAAUAAUGCAUGCAUAUUUAGUAAUAGAAAUGACACAAAUGUGGCAAUCUGAUACCUAACUGCAUAAAAUAAUUUCCCACCACUUCUUCCAAUGAGCAACUUCAGAGUUGUCUCUAUACUGACACCAUGAGGCAGAACGAUCUGACAACAACGACAUUAAAUGUCAUUGCAAUUGGUCUUCAACUGUAUUGAAACGCUAUGAAUGGUCUCUGUUCAGUUUACAGUAAAUAACUUUGAAACGGUGUUCAUUGCAUCCUGUAAGAAACUCUGAUUGUGUCUAUAGGGGGUUCAAAAUCCUGUUAAAAUGCGCACCUGAUGACAAUGAACUUUGAUAAUAGCUACACAUCCUCUACCGAACUUUGUGGGAUUUGGGUUUACAGCGUUGCAAUCUGCCUUGAGGGGGUAAUUAUUUCCUGACAACGGAAGGAAACUACGUAGGCUAAUAUCUAACUGAGUUACUGUAAAGGCGCUAUAAUAUUGCAUGGCCCUGUUUAGGUGUUAUGGUUCUCAGUUCUGUAGGACCGCUGUGUACAGAGUGUGUAAUUUGCAGUUUGAUGACUUAAUCGGAAGGUUGAAUUAGGUGUGGAGAAGAGGCUCGGUUUAGUCAUAGAUAUGUUGUGUUAGUUGAUGGAAAUUUUUUCUUUUCUUCAUGAAAAUUAAUAUACUGUAUAUUCAUACAGCAUGUCUACGGUGAAAGAAACAAAAUUAAUUUUUCUGAAUUAUAGGAUUCAUCUGAAACCAGAAAUUAUGCAAUUGUCUUUAAGUGUUUUCUUUCAAGAUGAAUAGCCUAAAUUGUUAGCGUCCUUUACUUUGUAAACAACAUAGGCAUUCCUUAGAAAAUUGUGACAAUUCAGUUAAAUUAAAAAGCAUAGAAAUUGAUUUGCCUUUAAAAUGAUAAAUUCUUAAAAUGUAAUGCAAGCACGUGCAGCAUAGUGUUAAGAAACCCCAGUCCUCUUGCAUAUUUUAAGAGUUUUUAAGGUAUUUGUAAAAUCUUUUAGCGUAGCUGUGUUCACAUGUACAUGCUUUUUAUAUGAAAGGUGAAACUGCAUCUUGGUGUUAUUAAACAAAUACCAGUUUUUGGUAAGUGUGUAUUAAAUGUAUCAAAGUAAAUGCUUCAGUUAUGCAAUGUUAGCCAUUUCCGCUGGAGGAGAAGUGAAUAAUCCCAGGAUGUAUUUACUUAUUCAAUGUCCUGGUUCAUUUUAAUUUGAAUGAUAAUGGUUUUACCUUUUUAUUUUCCUUAUGAAAUUGGACCUUUCGCACAAGUCUAACUCAACUGGUCCCAUAAUCCCCACCUUAAUCCUGGCGCUGUCUUUGCGGGCACAUCUUUUCUUUAAGUGUUUGAAUUAAAGGCCAUCUCUAGAGUAGAAUUUGGAAAAUUGAGUUGAAAGAAGAGACCGGCAUAUCAUGUCUGCGACUGUGGGAAGAGGAUGCAAAUGGCUCCAUUAAAAGUAUAAUUCUCCGGUAAAAUUGUGCAGUAGCUGCUGUAUAAUUAUUGAUCCUGUUGCUUAUGUCUCUCUUCGGGGGGAGGCGGAGCUAUUUGCGGAUUCCUGAGGGUGCUGAGCCGUUGAGCAGAAGCCACAGGAGUGGACAGCCGUGGCGGGUCACUGGGGGCCGACUCCCCAGGGAGCCGUUCAGCACCGCCAGGAACACAGAGAGAGACCCGCAGACCCCACACACCUGCUGAAACCUCACGGGGGAACACACUGAGGGUUGCAGCCGAGGCACCGUUUCGAUGCGUGGAUGGGCCGCGUGGUGCAGCUUCACACCAAGCCGUGGCGGGGAGCACCUCCGGGCGAUGAGCGGUCGGCUAUGGCGUUGAUAGAAGCUUCUGGGGGAUUCAGCACAAAGGAGCCCCAAACAUCCACAGAGCGCUCACGUGCAUCGCUUAUCUCCGCGUGAAGCUUCUUCAGUAUUCACGCGCAGGUAACUGGCUCAGAUCCCCUCAGAGACCGAAGCCUUGAGGGAGAUGUUCCGGAGGAACGAGGCCAGUCCCUCUUUAUCUCUCCCAUCUGCUAGAAAUGGAAGCUGGCGGAGAAUCGCGCAGCUAUUGUGGAAACAUUUGUCUCCGGCCACACGAUACCCCACAAAAAAAUAAAGCUUAAGGAUCUCAUGA
Molecule: long non-coding RNA, 2639 nt
Organism: Anguilla anguilla (European eel)
Lineage: Eukaryota; Metazoa; Chordata; Actinopteri; Anguilliformes; Anguillidae
Exons: 3
Source: RefSeq, a predicted model, not a curated record